UACGUAGGUGGCAAGCGUUGUUCGGAAUUAUUGGGCGUAAAGCGCGCGCAGGUGGUUUCUUAAGUCUGAUGUGAAAGCCCACGGCUCAACCGUGGAGGGUCAUUGGAAACUGGGGAACUUGAGUGCAGAAGAGGAAAGUGGAAUUCCAAGUGUAGCGGUGAAAUGCGUAGAGAUUUGGAGGAACACCAGUGGCGAAGGCGACUUUCUGGUCUGUAACUGACACUGAGGCGCGAAAGCGUGGGGAGCGAACAGG
Molecule: ribosomal RNA, 253 nt
Filed under: uncultured bacterium
Lineage: Bacteria
Description: partial 16S ribosomal RNA
Rfam family: Bacterial small subunit ribosomal RNA
Source: RNAcentral